UACGGGGGGGGCAAGCGUUGUUCGGAAUUACUGGGCGUAAAGGCGCGUAGGCGGCCUGCUAAGUCGGAUGUGAAAUCCCUCGGCUCAACCGAGGAACUGCAUCCGAUACUGGCGGGCUUGAAUCCGGGAGAGGGAUGUGGAAUUCCAGGUGUAGCGGUGAAAUGCGUAGAUAUCUGGAGGAACACCGGUGGCGAAGGCGGCAUCCUGGACCGGUAUUGACGCUGAGGCGCGAAAGCCAGGGGAGCAAAGCGGG
This 253-nucleotide ribosomal RNA is filed under the name uncultured bacterium. Its description in RNAcentral is "partial 16S ribosomal RNA". It matches the Rfam family "Bacterial small subunit ribosomal RNA", at positions 524 to 777 of the family's 1533-position model. The record is from RNAcentral.